Molecule: ribosomal RNA, 265 nt
Filed under: uncultured archaeon
Lineage: Archaea
Description: partial 16S ribosomal RNA
Rfam family: Archaeal small subunit ribosomal RNA
Source: RNAcentral
ACACGACUACAUUAGAUACCCGGGUAGUCCUAGCCGUAAACGAUACUCGCUAGGUGUCGGCCACGGUGCGACCGUUGUCGGUGCCGUAGGGAAGCCGUGCAGCGAGCCACCUGGGAAGUACGGCCGCAAGGCUGAAACUUAAAGGAAUUGGCGGGGGAGCACCACAACGGGUGGAGCUUGCGGUUUAAUUGGAUUCAACGCCGGAAAUCUUACCGGGACCGACAGCAACAUGAAGGCCAGGCUGAAGACUUUGCCGGAUUAGCUG